UACGUAGGGUGCAAGCGUUGUCCGGAAUUAUUGGGCGUAAAGAGCUCGUAGGCGGUCUGUCGCGUCGGCUGUGAAAACCCGGAGCUCAACUCCGGGCCUGCAGUCGAUACGGGCAGACUGGAGUUCGGCAGGGGAGACUGGAAUUCCUGGUGUAGCGGUGAAAUGCGCAGAUAUCAGGAGGAACACCGGUGGCGAAGGCGGGUCGCUGGGCCGAUACUGACGCUGAGGAGCGAAAGCGUGGGGAGCGAACAGG
This 253-nucleotide ribosomal RNA is filed under the name uncultured bacterium. RNAcentral's name for it is "partial 16S ribosomal RNA". It matches the Rfam family "Bacterial small subunit ribosomal RNA", at positions 524 to 776 of the family's 1533-position model. The record is from RNAcentral.